AGCGAGCGCUGGCGGCAGGCCUAACACAUGCAAGUCGAACGGAUCCUUCGGGAUUAGUGGCGGACGGGUGAGUAACACGUGGGAACGUGCCCUUUGGUUCGGAACAACCCAGGGAAACUUGAGCUAAUACCGGAUGUGCCCUUCGGGGGAAAGAUUUAUCGCCAUUGGAGCGGCCCGCGUCUGAUUAGCUAGUUGGUGAGGUAACGGCCCACCAAGGCGACGAUCAGUAGCUGGUCUGAGAGGAUGAUCAGCCACACUGGGACUGAGACACGGCCCAGACUCCUACGGGAGGCAGCAGUGGGGAAUCUUGCGCAAUGGGCGAAAGCCUGACGCAGCCAUGCCGCGUGAAUGAUGAAGGUCUUAGGAUUGUAAAAUUCUUUCAGCGGGGACGAUAAUGACGGUACCCGCAGAAGAAGCUCCGGCUAACUUCGUG
RNAcentral lists this ribosomal RNA (433 nucleotides) under uncultured bacterium. Its description in RNAcentral is "partial 16S ribosomal RNA". It matches the Rfam family "Bacterial small subunit ribosomal RNA", at positions 29 to 507 of the family's 1533-position model. The record is from RNAcentral.